This 537-nucleotide ribosomal RNA is filed under the name uncultured archaeon. RNAcentral's name for it is "bacterial SSU rRNA". It matches the Rfam family "Bacterial small subunit ribosomal RNA", at positions 400 to 931 of the family's 1533-position model. The record is from RNAcentral.
CGUGAUGAAGAAGGCCUUCGGGUUGUAGGCUACAUCGCCAAGAGACAGUACGAUGCUGAAUAACACCAAUGGUGGAUGACAGCACUGCAAAACAUACGCGAGUAACUACGUGCCAGCAGCCGCGGUAAUACGUAGGGUGCGAGCGUUAAUCGGAAUUACUGGGCGUAAAGCGUGCGCAGGCGGUUUCGUAAGCCAGACGUGAAAUCCCCGGGCUUAACCUGGGAACUGCGUUUGGGACUGCGAGGCUAGAGUACGGCAGAGGGAGGUGGAAUUCCACGUGUAGCAGUGAAAUGCGUAGAUAUGUGGAGGAACACCGAUGGCGAAGGCAGCCUCCUGGGCUAGUACUGACGCUCAUGCACGAAAGCGUGGGGAGCAAACAGGAUUAGAUACCCUGGGUAGUCCACUGCCCUAAACGAUGACAACUAGUUGUCGGGGAUUUACAUCCUUAGUAACGCAGCUAACGCGUGAAGUUGUCCGCCUGGGGAGUACGGUCGCAAGAUUAAAACUCAGAGGAAUUGACGGGGGCCCGCACAAGCG